This is a non-coding RNA of Podarcis lilfordi (Lilford's wall lizard), 78 nucleotides long. NCBI's taxonomy places the organism in Eukaryota, Metazoa, Chordata, Lepidosauria, Squamata, Lacertidae. The record is from the annotation of a GenBank genome assembly.
GCUCAUGAUGGAUGGCUCAGUCAGUACAGCAUGAGAUUCUUAAUCUCAAGGUCAUGGGUUCCAGCCCCACAUUGGGCA